This 302-nucleotide long non-coding RNA is filed under the name Mus musculus (house mouse). RNAcentral's name for it is "predicted gene, 56770". Lineage: Eukaryota; Metazoa; Chordata; Mammalia; Rodentia; Muridae. The record is from RNAcentral.
ACUUUUACCCAGAGACAUGAAUGGGAUAGAGCACAGGUGUUUUGGCCCAUUUCUGAGGAACACUGCUGAAGAAAUCUGUCCCCAGUAGGAAUUAUACAUGUUUUUUUCUUGUGUGAUCAAGUAUCUGGGGGGUGACUUCUGAUAACCUAUCUAUUCCUGUGCAAUGGGAAACCACAGGUGCCGUUUUGGAAAGAAGCAGAAACAUGGUUGCAUUGGGGGAAGAAGGGCGAAUGACUGGACUGUCUUGUGUGUUUUAUAGAAGAGUUAUAAAUAAUAUUUACAAAUACUUUUUUUUUGGAAAA